This 253-nucleotide ribosomal RNA is filed under the name uncultured bacterium. Its description in RNAcentral is "partial 16S ribosomal RNA". It matches the Rfam family "Bacterial small subunit ribosomal RNA", at positions 524 to 776 of the family's 1533-position model. The record is from RNAcentral.
UACAGAGGUCCCAAGCGUUGUUCGGAUUCACUGGGCGUAAAGGGUGCGUAGGUGGCUUGGUAAGUUUGAUGUGAAAUCUCCGGGCUUAACCCGGAAAUGGCAUUGAAUACUAUUGAGCUGGAGGUUUGGAGGGGGGACUGGAAUUCUCGGUGUAGCAGUGAAAUGCGUAGAUAUCGAGAGGAACACCAGUGGCGAAGGCGAGUCCCUGGACCGGCAUUGACGCUGAGGAGCGAAAGCCAGGGGAGCAAACGGG